AAGCUCAAUGGACUGAGCAAGUGGCGAGGAGUCGUCGCAUGAUCUCGCUUGAGAGAAUGCAUUGGUGGAUGCAUUACGAGAUCAAGUGGGGGAGCGACCCAAAGCAACUUAAAUGAAGGCACACUUGGAGUCGAUAUGGAGAUCGGACUCAAGGGAGGGUUGACCCGUGGAAUGGUGGGCGCGAGGGCCACCAUCGACUCAAUGCAAAAACGAGGAGCGGAGCAACUUGGGUGUAACUUGGCGAAGUACCCAAGCCACAUGAAGGGAGCCAUCAUAGAAGUUGGAACAUGGAGCAGAG
This 298-nucleotide long non-coding RNA is filed under the name Musa acuminata (dwarf banana). Its description in RNAcentral is "long non-coding RNA (MACU_LNC009443)". Lineage: Eukaryota; Viridiplantae; Streptophyta; Magnoliopsida; Zingiberales; Musaceae. The record is from RNAcentral.